Molecule: transfer RNA, 77 nt
Filed under: Flavobacteriales bacterium
Lineage: Bacteria; Pseudomonadati; Bacteroidota; Flavobacteriia; Flavobacteriales
Description: tRNA-Ala
Rfam family: tRNA
About the family: Transfer RNA (tRNA) molecules are approximately 80 nucleotides in length. Their secondary structure includes four short double-helical elements and three loops (D, anti-codon, and T loops).
Source: RNAcentral
GGGGAUGUAGCUCAGUUGGCUAGAGCGCUUGACUGGCAGUCAAGAGGUCGUGGGUUCGAGUCCCAUCUUCUCCACCA